Alnus glutinosa is the source of this 3719-nucleotide RNA transcript. It is a transcript of the gene named cyclin-dependent kinase G-2-like, with no coding region annotated. The record is from RefSeq and is a predicted model, not a curated record. The transcript has 6 exons. Lineage: Eukaryota; Viridiplantae; Streptophyta; Magnoliopsida; Fagales; Betulaceae.
CAACCACAAAACGCGUAUACGAAACACGAAGAGGCCUCUGAAGGUGCGUGUUUCGAUUGGCGAAUCUCUCUCUCUCUCUCUCUCUUCGAUCUCGGUCGUCGCUACUCAGAUUCUUUCUUUCUUUUCUCACCGGUAAGGCCUUUCGAUUACCUGUGAAUUUCUCAGGGCGACGCUACCAAAUAAAAGCACGGUAUUGAUUUCUAGGGUUUCGUUCGUGACCUGAUUCGUUAGCUGAAAUCUCCGAUUUUGUCUGCCUAAAUCUGAUAUUUGUUACUGAAUUUCACGAAUUAUUGAUAGUGUUUGUACUAAUUUUCAUAUACAGUCUCUAUUAAAUGCUUUAAAGAAAAGUGAAAGAAAUUUAAUUGUUGCUUUGGGGUUAGGGUUGGUUAGGGUUUGGGUUUCAUAGUUUUAAACUACAUACAAAAAGAAAAAAUUGCUGAUUUUGGGGAUUGGUUGUUUGUAUUCUGGAAUUGUUGAUUUGUGGGGGUUUGGGUUUGGAAACUUGGGAUAUUUUUUUGGCUCUGGUCAGGGUUUGUGUUUCUUAUAUUUUCUGAGUUUGAUUAUUGAUUGAGAAGAGUUCUGGUUGUGAAUCACAUGGCGGCAGGGCGAGUUGAUGUUUCAAGGAGAGUGGAAUUUUAUAGGCAUUCCAAAAGAGAGCGUGAUUAUUACAGGAAUGGUUCCUGUGUUGUGGAAUUCGGUCGGGACCGUGAUCUUGGUGCCAGACACAAGAAUGGAUACCAUUAUUCAUCAAAAGCUCGCGAUUCAGGGUCUAGAAGAGGCGUGUUUGGUGGUAGAACCGAACAGAGAAAGCAUGAUGAGUUGUCUAGAGUUAAUGAAGUCUCAGAUUACGAAGAUAGGGUUCUGCUGCCUCAAGAGAACAAGAGGAAGUUCUCGCCAAUUAUAUGGGAUAGAAAAGAAAAAGAUGUGAGGAUUUCAUCUAAGAACAGAGUUGUUCCAGUUACUCUGCUGUCUCCUCCUUGUCAGUCAGCAUCCAGUACGGAUGGUGUGGCAUUUGAUGAUGCUUCUGAUGUGGGUAUUUUGAAACCUGCUGUCUCAGGAGAUGAUAUUCUGGGAUUGGAGAAUUCGGCAGAUAAGCCUGCUGUGGCAGAUGAGUUGGUGGGUUUUUCUGAGUUCAGUUCUCCAGCGAAUUUGUCUCCUUUGUUGCCUUCAGAGCGAUUUGGGGAUGAUGACUAUGGACAUGACCAUGUGGAAGAUGACGAGUUUGCUCAAGCACGGAAUAUUGCAAUGUCAAGGUGGGCAUCUGAUUGUGAUUCUCCGAGGGUUAAUGAAGAUUUGCCUGACUCGAGGAGGUCGAGUCCUGAGAGUGGGGAGAUUCAAAUAGAAAGCUCAGGAGAGGGAAGGGCUAGGUCAUUUGGCUCUGAUGGAGAAGGUCGCACUGUGGCACAUGUUAGUCGAGAUACAUUUUGUGAAAAUGAGUCUUUAGACGUUGAUUCUAUGGAUGUUGAUUGCAAACAAGAUGCUGGUUUUAACAUGUCAGAUUCAGACUCAGAGGACAAUGGUGUUUCCCUUCAGAUUGAAGAAUCUAGCCUCCGUACCCAAAGAGGCAUAAACAUGCUUCAAGGUUGCAGAAGUGUGUAUGAGUUUGAAAUGCUUAACAAAAUAAACGAAGGCACUUAUGGGAUUGUGUAUAAAGCCAAGGAUAAGAAGACGGGGCAAAUUGUGGCCUUGAAGAAGGUGAAGAUGGGUAUAGAAAAGGAGGGUGGUUUCCCUUUGUCAUCAUUGAGGGAAAUAAAUAUUCUCUCGUCUUUUAAUCACCCUUCUGUCGUUGAUGUUAAAGAAGUUGUCUUGGAUGACUUUGAUACUGUUUUCAUGGUUAUGGAGUACAUGGAAUAUGACCUCAAGUGUCUAUUGGGGGAUAUGAAACAGCCUUUUAGUAUAAGCGAGGUUAAGUGCUUGAUGCUACAGCUUUUGGAGGGUGUCAAGUAUCUUCAUGACAAUUGGGUGCUUCAUAGAGAUUUGAAGACAUCAAACCUUCUUGUGAGCAAGGAGGGUGAGUUGAAAAUAUGCGACUUUGGGUUGUCUCGCCAGUAUGGGAGCCCCUUGAAGCCAUUUACACCUGUUGUGGUCACCCUUUGGUACAGAGCACCGGAACUUCUGCUAGGCACAAAACAGUACUCAACUGCUAUUGAUAUGUGGUCAGUGGGAUGCAUAAUGGCUGAGUUGGUGGGAAAGGAACCACUUUUCAAAGGGAAAAAUGAAGUUGAUCAGCUUGGCAAGAUUUUCCAAAUUCUUGGUGCACCAAAUGAAGAGACUUGGCCUGGAUUAACAAAAUUGCCAGGAGUUAGACCAAAUAUAAAGCAAAUGCAUAAUCUAUUGCGGAAGAAGUUUCCUGCCAGAUCCUUCACAGGAUCUCCAGUUCUUUCUAAUUUGGGAUUUGACUUGUUGAGCAAACUUUUAGCUUAUGAUCCCGAGAAGCGGAUAACAGCAGAGGCUGCUCUCAAUCAUGACUGGUUUCGCGAGGUUCCUCUUCCCAGAUCUGAUUUCAAGCUUAAUUUUCCUGUUUGGCAUGGUCAAGAGAGGUAGCGUAGUUAGCUGGCAGCUUGAUAGUACUUAAUAGAGCAAUUUCUCGCUUUAUGCAAUUGCUUCUUUUUCGACCUAUGUGUCCACCUAAUUGUUUGGCAUCUGCAAGAAUAACAAAGAGUCAGGAUCUUUUAGAGGAGCAGUGAGAAAGGAGCUGCAAUGAACUCGAAUGGUUUACCUGGCCAAGAUUCAUGGAUUGAUGCAGUGGUCUUUGGGAAGGAAUUAAUCACUUGCUGUGGUAACAAAGCUUCGUUCCACAUACAAAGCCGAGGUAUCUUGUCCUGUAACUAUAUCAUAUUCGGGCAAGCAAUUGGCUGGUAUGUUCAUAACUUGCUCUUUCUGGAGUGCUUAUGGCAUACUGUUUGUUUCUAUUUUAGCUGCAGUCUUUACAUUUUUUACUUAUCGUCGAAAGUUUUCCUAAUAAAUUAUCACCGGUUGGAGACACCAUUAUAGAGAAAGUAGUAAAAUAUUCUUCCAGCUUGUUUGAGAUUGCAUUUAGGAUCUUAAAAAAUGAUUUUCGUACAUAAAAAUCUGUGCCAGGCAAAUAUGCGUCGGUUUGGGAAAAAACUUAAAAGCACUUUGUUGACUUGACCAGAAACUGUUUUGGAAAAAUUUGAAAAUGAAAUUUUUUCUAUGGACAAAAGUUUUUAUUUCUCAAUGCAAUUCUAAACAGGUUUAGAAUGCUAAAAGGUGUAUUUUAUCACCUGGAAAGUAAUAUUUCUCUUUGAAGGGAGUCAUCUGAUUGCAGGGAGCAUCCCAAAUUUAUUAUACGUUGAUGGUAAGUUUGUUACUGAAUGGUUUGAUGCCUUUUAAGAAUUGAAUUAAAAUAGCCCAGGCCUUCCCAGCAAACAGUCAUCAUUUCAAGUUGUCACCUAUAAGAUCCUUGCGCAAUCUAACACUUGUCUUUUGCCGUGUUGCGCUGUGUCUAUAGUUUUCCCCAAUCAAAGCCAGCACAUUUUGGGGCCGGCCGAUGAUGAUCAUGAAACGUAGGUCCAAGGUUCCCAGGACUGUGAUGUUAUUAUUGUUGAGAGAGGAAAUGCUUAAAAUUUCCCUGGGAAUUUCGCGGAGAUUGACACUGGAUAAAGAUAAGUUAUGUAUAAUACAAGUUUUGUGAAAAUCCUGAUUUGUGGUUAUUCAAUCAUCUGGCCUAAAAAAUUAUUUCCCUCCGUGAAAUAAAA